RNAcentral lists this small RNA (310 nucleotides) under Streptomyces auratus AGR0001. RNAcentral's name for it is "5' ureB small RNA". It matches the Rfam family "5' ureB small RNA". Lineage: Bacteria; Bacillati; Actinomycetota; Actinomycetes; Kitasatosporales; Streptomycetaceae. The record is from Rfam by way of RNAcentral.
CCUCACCGACCUGGUCGGGACAGAUGAAGUGGACGUGCGUGUCGACGCCCCCGGCGGUCAGGAUCCGCCCAUUGCCCGCGAUGACCUCGGUGUCGGGACCGAUGACGAAAUCCGCGGGCACCGGACCGACGCCGUUGUGGAUGCCGGCCCCCUCGUGGAGAGGGUUCAUGGUCUCGUCGUUGUACGCCUUGCCGAGCGCGGCGAUGCGGCCGUUGCGGAGGGCGACAUCGGCCUUGACGACACCCCAGUGAUCGAGGAUGACGGCGCCGGUGAUGACAGUGUCGGGCGGCAGCUCGACGGCCUCGCCAGG